ACGGGAGGCAGCAGUGGGGAAUAUUGCACAAUGGGCGCAAGCCUGAUGCAGCGACGCCGCGUGAGUGAAGAAGUAUUUCGGUAUGUAAAGCUCUAUCAGCAGGGAAGAAAAUGACGGUACCUGACUAAGAAGCCCCGGCUAACUACGUGCCAGCAGCCGCGGUAAUACGUAGGGGGCAAGCGUUAUCCGGAUUUACUGGGUGUAAAGGGAGCGUAGACGGCAAGGCAAGUCUGAUGUGAAAGGCAGGGGCUCAACUCCUGGACUGCAUUGGAAACUGUCUGGCUGGAGUACCGGAGGGGUAAGCGGAAUUCCUAGUGUAGCGGUGAAAUGCGUAGAUAUUAGGAGGAACACCAGUGGCGAAGGCGGCUUACUGGACUGUAACUGACGUUGAGGCUCGAAAGCGUGGGGAGCAAACAGGAUUAGAUACCCUGGUA
This 434-nucleotide ribosomal RNA is filed under the name uncultured Clostridium sp. Its description in RNAcentral is "partial 16S ribosomal RNA". It matches the Rfam family "Bacterial small subunit ribosomal RNA", at positions 341 to 792 of the family's 1533-position model. Lineage: Bacteria; Bacillati; Bacillota; Clostridia; Eubacteriales; Clostridiaceae. RNAcentral also lists the same sequence under 1 other name. The record is from RNAcentral.